Long non-coding RNA from Trichomycterus rosablanca, 421 nucleotides. RefSeq lists it as uncharacterized. The transcript is spliced from 3 exons. NCBI's taxonomy places the organism in Eukaryota, Metazoa, Chordata, Actinopteri, Siluriformes, Trichomycteridae. The record is from RefSeq and is a predicted model, not a curated record.
AGACGGGUACGAGAAUGAUUUAGAAUCAGAUUCCUCGAGCGAGCAGACAGACUCCCAGGGACCACAAGUGUCUUCUGAAGCUCCAGGUAACCUUAACACCACCACGUUCGAGCCCGACACUAUUAAACUCUAGUGACUCUUGGGGUUUGUAGGUGGGAUCAGUUCUGGAGAAGUCAUCUGUGAUGCUCCCAAGAACAAGGAUGUUGAAGGAGAAACCACCAACGGAGAAGGUCAAGAGGAAAAGACGACCGACACGAACCCGGACAGCCAAUACACCCUUGGAGAGCUGCUGGGAAAGGAAGACUGCGGUUCAGUCUAUGAAGGAGACCAUAAGGCAGAUGGGAACCAGCAGGUUGAGGUGCCAUGCACUGUACCCGAGACCAUCGACAUCUCAGAACGAACAUCACGUGUGGUUGAGGAC